Molecule: ribosomal RNA, 469 nt
Filed under: uncultured organism
Description: partial 16S ribosomal RNA
Rfam family: Bacterial small subunit ribosomal RNA
Source: RNAcentral
ACUCCUACGGGAGGCAGCAGUGGGGAAUUUUGGACAAUGGGCGAAAGCCUGAUCCAGCAAUGCCGCGUGAGUGAAGAAGGCCUUCGGGUUGUAAAGCUCUUUUGUCAGGGAAGAAACGGUGAGAGCUAAUAUCUCUUGCUAAUGACGGUACCUGAAGAAUAAGCACCGGCUAACUACGUGCCAGCAGCCGCGGUAAUACGUAGGGUGCAAGCGUUAAUCGGAAUUACUGGGCGUAAAGCGUGCGCAGGCGGUUUUGUAAGUCUGAUGUGAAAUCCCCGGGCUCAACCUGGGAAUUGCAUUGGAGACUGCAAGGCUAGAAUCUGGCAGAGGGGGGUAGAAUUCCACGUGUAGCAGUGAAAUGCGUAGAUAUGUGGAGGAACACCGAUGGCGAAGGCAGCCCCCUGGGUCAAGAUUGACGCUCAUGCACGAAAGCGUGGGGAGCAAACAGGAUUAGAAACCCCAGUAGUCC